This 470-nucleotide ribosomal RNA is filed under the name Hordeum flexuosum. The record is from RNAcentral. Lineage: Eukaryota; Viridiplantae; Streptophyta; Magnoliopsida; Poales; Poaceae.
GGAUCCCAUCAGAAGCUCCGAAGUUAAACGUGCUUGGGCGAGAGAGUAGUAUUAGGAUGGGUGACCUCCUGGGAAGUCCUCGUGUUGCAUUCCCUUUUUAAUAUAUUUUUGCUCCACGCGAGAAAGAUGCGUACGUGCGCGGAAUAUAUUAAGCACGGUUCCUUAUUUCCGACUUCUCGUGCUGAUCAGUUUGAUAUAUUAUACGGUUUUUUUCGACAUCGUAUGCAAAAGUUAUAGCCGUUUUACUUUUUCAUAACACUUUUUUGCAAAACAUGUCAAAAUUUAUGUUUUUGAAUUUUCCUAACUAAUAGAUGUAGUAACAUAAAUACAUCUCGAAGGAUUUUAAUUUUUGAAGUUUUUAUCAUUUUCUUUUCUUUUUUUCAAAACUAAAAUGGCGAUAGGGGGGGGCAGCAUAAUGGACGAAGGCGGGGGUAACAUGUCGGAUGCGAUCAUACCAGCACUAAAGCACC